GGGAUUGGAGCGACAAGGUCAGAUGUUCUUCCACUUUAAUUUAAGGAAAUAUGACGUUUGGCUUUACCUUUUUGAAUUCCCAAUGCGUUGCAUCAACUGGUAUUUUUAACUCUUCUCUACUAAUAAACAGAAGUCCGUGGCAUUUAAGGAACAACUUCGAUAAAAGUGAGACGUAUUACCGACCAGAUCAUCUUCAUACAU
This is a long non-coding RNA of Daphnia magna, 201 nucleotides long. RefSeq lists it as uncharacterized. The transcript has 3 exons. The record is from RefSeq and is a predicted model, not a curated record. Lineage: Eukaryota; Metazoa; Arthropoda; Branchiopoda; Diplostraca; Daphniidae.